This 426-nucleotide ribosomal RNA is filed under the name Triticum aestivum (bread wheat). RNAcentral's name for it is "partial small subunit ribosomal RNA". Lineage: Eukaryota; Viridiplantae; Streptophyta; Magnoliopsida; Poales; Poaceae. The record is from RNAcentral.
AUGAACUGUUCUGAUAUCUCUGUUUGUGGUGAUUGGGUUGGUGUAGAUGAGUCGACAACGAAGCUCAAGGACGUGAUAUGGCGCUCGGUAAACCGGAGACUGGAUUUACCAACAUGGAAGGAUUCCUCAAGAGCACAUCAGCACCUGAAGCUGCGGCUGUCGCAGCUCUACAAUUUUUCUUCUUUCCGGAUGCCCGACAGCCUGAGCAUGCAAGAGCAGCAGCACGAGCAGGCCGUGCUGUGCAACAUCAGCAGAGCGCUCUCAGUGCAGCGGAACUACUCGGGCGUCUCUGAUGACAACAUAUUUGAUACUGAAGUUGAAGAUUGUAGCACGGCAUUCGUACUAAUCAAAGAUGCCAAGAAGACAACUAAUGUGCCAGGAGGUGCGGGUACUAACAGCAGUUGCCUCUACUUGUGGAAGCUUUAG